GCUGCGGCAGCGAACGUAUCACUUAAAGCGAUUCAGCGGGUUACGAUUGACGGAGCGAAGCGACGUCAAAGCGUAUACAAAGUCGAGUCGGUUUAAGGAUACGUUCGUUGGGUAGGGGAGCGUUCUGUAAGCCUGCGAAGGUGGCCUGUGAGGGUUGCUGGAGGUAUCAGAAGUGCGAAUGCUGACAUAAGUAACGAUAAAGCGGGUGAAAAGCCCGCUCGCCGGAAGACCAAGGGUUCCUGUCCAACGUUAAUCGGGGCAGGGUGAGUCGACCCCUAAGGCGAGGCCGAAAGGCGUAGUCGAUGGGAAACGGGUUAAUAUUCCCGUACUUGGUGUUACUGCGAAGGGGGGACGGAGAAGGCUAUGUUGGCCGGGCGACGGUUGUCCCGGUUUAAGCGUGUAGGCUGGUUUUCCAGGCAAAUCCGGAAAAUCAAGGCUGAGGCGUGAUGACGAGGCACUACGGUGCUGAAGCAACAAAUGCCCUGCUUCCAGGAAAAGCCUCUAAGCAUCAGGUAACAUCAAAUCGUACCCCAAACCGACACAGGUGGUCAGGUAGAGAAUACCAAGGCGCUUGAGAGAACUCGGGUGAAGGAACUAGGCAAAAUGGUGCCGUAACUUCGGGAGAAGGCACGCUGACAUGUAGGUGAAGUGAUUUACUCAUGGAGCUGAAGUCAGUCGAAGAUACCAGCUGGCUGCAACUGUUUAUUAAAAACACAGCACUGUGCAAACACGAAAGUGGACGUAUACGGUGUGACGCCUGCCCGGUGCCGGAAGGUUAAUUGAUGGGGUCAGCGCAAGCGAAGCUCCUGAUCGAAGCCCCGGUAAACGGCGGCCGUAACUAUAACGGUCCUAAGGUAGCGAAAUUCCUUGUCGGGUAAGUUCCGACCUGCACGAAUGGCGUAAUGAUGGCCAGGCUGUCUCCACCCGAGACUCAGUGAAAUUGAACUCGCUGUGAAGAUGCAGUGUACCCGCGGCAAGACGGAAAGACCCCGUGAACCUUUACUAUAGCUUGACACUGAACAUUGAGCCUUGAUGUGUAGGAUAGGUGGGAGGCUUUGAAGUGUGGACGCCAGUCUGCAUGGAGCC
Molecule: ribosomal RNA, 1086 nt
Filed under: Salmonella enterica subsp. enterica serovar Senftenberg
Lineage: Bacteria; Pseudomonadati; Pseudomonadota; Gammaproteobacteria; Enterobacterales; Enterobacteriaceae
Description: partial 23S ribosomal RNA
Rfam family: Bacterial large subunit ribosomal RNA
Source: RNAcentral